Hordeum vulgare subsp. vulgare (domesticated barley) is the source of this 170-nucleotide non-coding RNA. The record is from Rfam. NCBI's taxonomy places the organism in Eukaryota, Viridiplantae, Streptophyta, Magnoliopsida, Poales, Poaceae.
AGCGGGAAGUGGAAGAAAAGAGGGCAUAAGAGCAGUGGGAGCAGGAACAUGGAGGAAAUCCUAACUUGCUUUGUUUCCACCUCUCGUGUUGGAGGUGAGACUUGCUUUGGUGUUUUCCAAUGACUCCUAUUCCUAUUGUUCUCAAGCACUCCUUCCUCUUCCUUUUUCGG